GAUGAACGCUGGCGGCGUGCCUAAUACAUGCAAGUCGAGCGAACAGACGAGGAGCUUGCUCCUCUGACGUUAGCGGCGGACGGGUGAGUAAUACGUGGAUAACCUACCUAUAAGAAUGGGAUAACUUCGGGAAACCGGAGCUAAUACCGGAUAAUAUAUUGAACCGAAUGGUUCAAUAGUGAAAGACGGUUUUGCUGUGACUUAUAGAUGGAUCCGCGCCGCAUUAGCUAGUUGGUAAGGUAACGGCUUACCAAGGCGACGAUGCGUAGCCGACCUGAGAGGGUGAUCGGGCAGACUGUAACUGAGACACGUUCCAGACUCCUACGGGAGGCAGCAGUAGGGAAUCUUCCGCGAUGGGCGAAAGCCUGACGGAGCAACGCCGCGUGAGUGAUGAAGGUCUUCGGAUCGUAAAACUCUGUAAGUAGGGAGGAAGAAAAGUUUUUGUAACUAUGCACGUCUUGACGGUACCUAAACAAAAAGCCACGGCUAACUUCGUG
RNAcentral lists this ribosomal RNA (497 nucleotides) under uncultured bacterium. RNAcentral's name for it is "partial 16S ribosomal RNA". It matches the Rfam family "Bacterial small subunit ribosomal RNA", at positions 28 to 507 of the family's 1533-position model. The record is from RNAcentral.